Molecule: non-coding RNA, 82 nt
Organism: Pangasianodon gigas (Mekong giant catfish)
Lineage: Eukaryota; Metazoa; Chordata; Actinopteri; Siluriformes; Pangasiidae
Source: the annotation of a GenBank genome assembly
CUUGCAUUAGAUGUGAUAGACUUGCAUUAGAUGUGAUAGACUUGCAUUAGAUGACUUGCGUUAGAUGUAGUAGACUUGUGUU